This 456-nucleotide ribosomal RNA is filed under the name uncultured soil bacterium. RNAcentral's name for it is "bacterial SSU rRNA". It matches the Rfam family "Bacterial small subunit ribosomal RNA", at positions 26 to 488 of the family's 1533-position model. The record is from RNAcentral.
AGGAUGAACGCUGGCGGCGUGCUUAACACAUGCAAGUCGAACGAUGAAGGCUGGAGCUUGCUCUGGCUGGAUUAGUGGCGAACGGGUGAGUAACACGUGAGUAACCUGCCCCAGACUCUGGGAUAAGCGCUGGAAACGGCGUCUAAUACCGGAUACGAGCUUCCACCGCAUGGUGAGGAGCUGGAAAGAAUUUCGGUCUGGGAUGGACUCGCGGCCUAUCAGCUUGUUGGUGAGGUAAUGGCUCACCAAGGCGACGACGGGUAGCCGGCCUCGAGAGGGUGACCGGCCACACUGGGACUGAGACACGGCCCAGACUCCUACGGGAGCAGCAGUGGGGAAUAGUUGCACAAUGGGCGCAAGCCUGAUGCAGCAACGCCGCGUGAGGACGAAGGCCUUGGUGAACUCGUUUAGUAGGAAGAGCGAGUGUUAUCACUUCGAUGACGUACUGACAGAAAA